RNAcentral lists this unclassified non-coding RNA (318 nucleotides) under fungal sp. RNAcentral describes it as "partial internal transcribed spacer region". The stretch from base 1 to 46 matches the Rfam family "Eukaryotic small subunit ribosomal RNA", at positions 1786 to 1831 of the family's 1831-position model. The record is from RNAcentral. Lineage: Eukaryota; Fungi.
AAGUCGUAACAAGGUUUCCGUAGGUGAACCUGCGGAAGGAUCAUUAACACGGUUUUUUACCAAACCAAAUACCAAAACUCUGUGAAUGAGACUCUUCAUUGAGUCUCGCCCUGUUUUCCCCCUUUAAUCACUUUUAAUCCCAAAAAUAUUCAUCAUAUUAUUCGUAAUGUGAUGUUAUUUUGUAACUACAAUUUUUUUUACAUUACUCUUUGUCUUCGGACAAAAGUAAUCAAAAAGAUAUUUUCUCCUUUGGAGAAAUUCAUAUCUUUUUAUGAACCAAACGUUGUACAACUCUUAGCAACGGAUAUCUUGGCUCUC